Molecule: long non-coding RNA, 1388 nt
Organism: Mastomys coucha (southern multimammate mouse)
Lineage: Eukaryota; Metazoa; Chordata; Mammalia; Rodentia; Muridae
Exons: 5
Source: RefSeq, a predicted model, not a curated record
AAGCCCCUUGAAGCAGGUCCUGUGGUAGGCCAGGCCAGUGCGUACUCACUGAAUAGCCUGUGCUCUCUUCAGAAGGUGCUGGACUCCAGGUGUUACGCUGCAGAUCUGUCCCAGCCUAAUGUAUAGGAAUGGCCUCUCUUUGGGUCACAGAUGCCCAGAGAAGGUGUUGUUCUCUGUGCAGCUAAGUGGAUAGGGCAGGAUGACAGAAAUGCUUGUUGCUUAGCAAUGCACAGCCCGCUGUCCUCACAAAGGGAGGGACUUCCCUACCUCAGAGAAGACUGGCAGUCAAGACCCUAGCAAGGGAGUGCCCGGGGUAGUGGUGGGGUGAGGGGAGGGCUGUGUUGCUUUUGCCUUGGGGACUUCAUGGACUCUGAGCCCUACCAGAUUCCUUUGGAGAUGAGACCUCACUUCCUGGAAAACAGAUGAGGUUUUUCAAAUCUUGACUAUUUUGCCAUCUCCAGAGAUAAUGAGGCUGUCUUACUGCUUCCGGUGUCCGCAGCAGGAACCUGAGCGCUGCCUCUGUGGUGAAUCUCAGUGAGAGCCAGAGGACUCAUCUGAUAUUUGUUUCUGAGCCAGAGACCCUUCUGAUCAGCCCACUGAAUUGCCAGCAUCUCUGACUAGUGAUUAACCAUUGACAUAUUGCAAGUACAACAAGUCUCAGCCAAGAUGCUGGCUGAGCUCUACCAGGGCAGUUCCCCAGGGAUGGAGGUCUCCAAACUCCGGGACGUGAGCUGCUCCUCUGGGAUGGCCUCUAUGAAGUUGGAAUCAAGAAGAUGAGAUUCUGCAGGCCCCCGUAGGCAGUGAAGAGCAGGAGGAAUCCACAAGAAACCACCAGAACAUUCUUCAGGCUCCUCUCCAUUAUGCCGACAGGUUGUUAGUACCAGUGGAUGUCAGAGAGACCAACUUCCCAGUGGCAGCAACACUACAGUGGGCUGAGCACUCCCACACUGGUCAUCCGUCAAGAUGAUACCCCACAGACCUGCCUCCGGGCCAAUCUUAUGACAGUUGAUAAACCAAGAAAACCACAACAGCCGGAUGAGUACCCACAUGGGGCAUGAGAGAAGCCAUGAUCUUACAGAUGAGCUCAGACAGGAGACCACUUAACAGAGAGCAAAUGAAGGACCAAGUGCUUCACAAGGACCUCAGGGAGAAAAUGCCCUUUAACCUUAGGACUCUGGCUCGUAUAACUAGCCAGCCAUUGGGGGACCACUGUUUUUGCCUCUGCCCAAAGCAGUGACUUUGAGAUUCGCAGGUCCCUUAAAUCAGUAAACUCCCUGCUGAGAUGCCUAAGCAAUAGCUUGCUUGCUCUUUUAGGGCAAGUGCCCAUGUGAGCAUGCUACUGUUAGUUUUCUUGGCAUUUAAAUAUGAAAUCUAAAAGCAGCACCAAA